This 217-nucleotide long non-coding RNA is filed under the name Elaeis guineensis (African oil palm). RNAcentral's name for it is "long non-coding RNA (EGUI_LNC058403)". The record is from RNAcentral. Lineage: Eukaryota; Viridiplantae; Streptophyta; Magnoliopsida; Arecales; Arecaceae.
CCACUAUUUUAGUCGAAUUGGUAGCCUCUAUCUCCAAUCCAAGAAAUUACUCUAAUUUCUUAGCAGGUACUAGAAUCCACACAGUUGUAUAUGAGCCCGACUUUGGCCAACUCACCUAUGUACAUCUAUGGAUAGAUUCUUAACUAAUUAUUUCAGCAAAUAAUUUUUAGUAAUUUAUUUUGCCCUAGAUAGCUUUUCAGUUGACUUUGGUCUUCUC